CCCCAGACUCCUACGGGAGGCAGCAGUGGGGAAUAUUGGGCAAUGGACGCAAGUCUGACCCAGCAACGCCGCGUGAAGGAAGAAGGCUUUCGGGUUGUAAACUUCUUUUAAGGGGGAAGAGCAGAAGACGGUACCCCUUGAAUAAGCCACGGCUAACUACGUGCCAGCAGCCGCGUUAAUACGGAGGAUGCGAGCGUUAUCCGGAUUUAUUGGGUUUAAAGGGUGCGUAGGCGGGCUGCCAAGUCAGCGGUAAAAUUGCGGGGCUCAACCCCGUCGAGCCGUUGAAACUGGCGGUCUUGAGUGGGCGAGAAGUAUGCGGAAUGCGUGGUGUAGCGGUGAAAUGCAUAGAUAUCACGCAGAACUCCGAUUGCGAAGGCAGCAUACCGGCGCCCGACUGACGCUGAAGCACGAAAGCGUGGGUAUCGAACAGGAUUAGAUACCCUCGUAAC
Molecule: ribosomal RNA, 449 nt
Filed under: uncultured bacterium
Lineage: Bacteria
Description: bacterial SSU rRNA
Rfam family: Bacterial small subunit ribosomal RNA
Source: RNAcentral